RNAcentral lists this small RNA (37 nucleotides) under Acididesulfobacillus acetoxydans. RNAcentral's name for it is "CRISPR spacer". The record is from RNAcentral. Lineage: Bacteria; Bacillati; Bacillota; Clostridia; Eubacteriales; Peptococcaceae.
GGUGAGAAAAUGAGACGUGUCUAUAUUGCCUACGGCA